Molecule: long non-coding RNA, 1316 nt
Organism: Cavia porcellus (domestic guinea pig)
Lineage: Eukaryota; Metazoa; Chordata; Mammalia; Rodentia; Caviidae
Exons: 3
Source: RefSeq, a predicted model, not a curated record
CUCUUUUCAAACACUGAGGGCUGCCGGGAUCCUCCCACCGGCCCGGCCGCAUCCCCGCCCCCAGCCUGCCCAGGGCUCCGUCCAGGAACCUACCCAUAAGGCCAGGUGCAGCCCCUCUGCGGUCCGGCUCAGGUGUGAGCCCCGGCCCUGAAGCUCUCUGGCGUCUCCAGAAAGCUUCCCUGGGCCUGAAAGAAGCCAGUGCCCUCCUCUGUGCCUGUGUUCUGCUGGGGUGCCAGGUGCCACCCAUGCUGGCCAGUUUGCCUCUAGGACUGGGACCGUGUCCGGGGUGACACAACACCCAGUCAUGGCCAGCAGCUGGACCCUGAGCACAUUUCGCACUGCUAAGAGAGUGGGACCUGUCUGGACAGCUAUUACUCCCUCAGACCGCUGAAAGGAAGGAAUUCUGCAGCGUGCAAACAGCUCCCCACUUAGAGGACACCGGGGAGUUGCUCUGUGACAGUUUUCACAGCUCACUACCAAGAUGCGCCUGCCCGGAAGUCACCCUGAUUACAGGAGGCCACCGGAGCACCUUUACCCCUUACAUGGCCUUUUGGCCAAGUGUGUCUGCUGUGCCUCCUCCAAAUGCUAUCACCUCCUCCAAGGGGAACGUGGGUUCCGAGGCCCCCUGGGCAAGUUCCGGUGUGGCCAACAGGGAGGCAUGUCUGCAUGGCAUACCACUCUCUCAUGAUUUGGUUUCAGUCUUUAUUGGUCUACUUCACAGAGGCCCAGGAGAUCACAGCUUACUGUCUCAGCCCUGGAAUAAGGUGCCGACUUAGGAGGUGUGGAGUGAUUUAUUAAAUGGAAUAUGGCACGGCAGGAAGCAGCCCUCUGGCCAUUUCCCAGGCUUUUCCUCCUAGGCUCACAGGAAGCAAAGAGUGAGGAGACUGCAGGUUGUAAAAAGAGGGUAGGUAAGCUUGGCUAAGCUCACAGAAGCUCUAGCAGCAGCGCAAAUGGCCAGUAAGCAUCUGAAAAGAUGCACACUUGCUCACUAUCUGGGAAACGCCGAUUCCAACCAUGGCAAGACACCAUGCUCCCACCCAUUCGAUUGGCAAAAUAUUGACGUUGGCAGAGGUGGAAGCCAUCUCCCAUUCACCAAGCGUGCACUGGCAUUGCUGUUUUUAGAGCAAUUGGCUAGACUUUAUAAACUGCAAAAUGCACAUUCCCUUGGGCCCCGAAUUUUUCUUUCCAGGUAUCUGGUCUUUCAGCAAUGAAGACUGCAGAAAGGAUGACCAAAGAUGUUCACGGCUGCAGCGCCUGGGUGCAAAACAGCAGCGGCGGCAUAAAGACUACCGAUAAAUAAAGUGGUGGGUGGGGGG